RNAcentral lists this ribosomal RNA (366 nucleotides) under Triticum aestivum (bread wheat). RNAcentral describes it as "partial small subunit ribosomal RNA". The record is from RNAcentral. Lineage: Eukaryota; Viridiplantae; Streptophyta; Magnoliopsida; Poales; Poaceae.
AUGAGUAUGGUGGAACCCAACAUCCAUUCAACCUCUAAAUUGGGGCUCCAUGGCUACCAACCGAUGGAGCAAGACUGGAGACCACCCUCUCCUCCUCCAAUUUGGAGCUCCAUGGCCGCCAUUCAACAGGCGCACUGCCAUCGUUGCCUCCUCACCGCCUCACCUGGGAGAGCACAGGCGCCAACAUCGCCCAUGACCCGCCGCAUGUUCGAUCAACAAACUGUAGUUCAAUUAGGUCUGUUGCUCCUCUUACAUGCAGAGCCUGGGAAGAUCAUGGUCUUCUCUCAUUCUCUUGUGAACAAUAUAUACAUUGUAGGUGUGCGAGAAGAAAUAUUGUAUUGCUUGGAAAAAGAUAUGCGAAAUUAG